RNAcentral lists this non-coding RNA (148 nucleotides) under Homo sapiens (human). The record is from Rfam by way of RNAcentral. Lineage: Eukaryota; Metazoa; Chordata; Mammalia; Primates; Hominidae.
GUCGGGUAUGGUGGUGCACGCCUGUAGUCCCAACUACUCAGGAGGCUGAGGCAGGAGGAUCACUUGAGCCCAGGAGUUCGGGGCUGCAGUGAGCCAUGAUCACACCACUACACUCCAGCCUGGGUGACAGAGGGAGAUCGUGUCUUUC